UACGGAGGAUCCAAGCGUUAUCCGGAUUUAUUGGGUUUAAAGGGUGCGUAGGCGGAAUGAUAAGUUAGUGGUGAAAUUCUAUGGCUUAACUGUAGAACUGCCAUUAAUACUGUUGUUCUUGAGUAUAUUUGAAGUGGGCGGAAUGUGUCAUGUAGCGGUGAAAUGCUUAGAGAUGACACAGAACACCGAUAGCGAAGGCAGCUCACUAAGUUAUAACUGACGCUCAGGCACGAAAGCGUGGGGAU
This 245-nucleotide ribosomal RNA is filed under the name uncultured bacterium. Its description in RNAcentral is "partial 16S ribosomal RNA". It matches the Rfam family "Bacterial small subunit ribosomal RNA", at positions 524 to 768 of the family's 1533-position model. The record is from RNAcentral.